AUACGUAGGAGGCAAGCGUUGUCCGGAUUUACUGGGUGUAAAGGGUCCGCAGGCGGGAAUGUAAGUCGGUGGUGAAAUCCUACGGCUCAACCGUAGAACUGCCUCCGAGACUGCAUCUCUUGAAUAUGGGAGAGGGCAGCGGAAUUCCAGGUGUAGCGGUGAAAUGCUUAGAUAUCUGGAAGAACGCCGGUAGCGAAGGCUGCUGCCUGGCCCAUUAUUGACGCUCAUGGACGAAAGCGUGGGGAUCAAACAGGAUUAGAUACCCUGGUAGUCCACGCUGUAAACGAUGGAUACUCGGUGUUGGCCCGCAAGGGUCGGUGCCUAAGCUAACGCAGUAAGUAUCCCACCUGGGAAGUACGAUCGCAAGGUUGAA
This 373-nucleotide ribosomal RNA is filed under the name uncultured bacterium. RNAcentral's name for it is "bacterial SSU rRNA". It matches the Rfam family "Bacterial small subunit ribosomal RNA", at positions 523 to 898 of the family's 1533-position model. The record is from RNAcentral.